Long non-coding RNA from Vicia villosa (hairy vetch), 2071 nucleotides. RefSeq lists it as uncharacterized. The record is from RefSeq and is a predicted model, not a curated record. NCBI's taxonomy places the organism in Eukaryota, Viridiplantae, Streptophyta, Magnoliopsida, Fabales, Fabaceae. The transcript is spliced from 2 exons.
GAAAAAUAUAUAAAUUUUGUUCUGGCCCUUUGAAAAUACUUUUGCUUCCUCGAUAACCCGUGCUUCAAACCCAAAACCUCAAACGUGCUCAAAAUUGUGAAACCCUUCUCUCUUGAUUCAUGAUUCUGCCUCCUCUAUCUUGAUUCACGAUUCCGCCUCCUCUCUCAUUUUCUCUACCAAUCAAUCAAACACAAAAACCUUCUCGUCACUAGAAACGUGUAUGAAUCAAAAACCCUUUUGAAACUUGUUUCGAAUCACAAAUGUGUUCAUAAUCUCUAUUUUAGGAAUCAUUCAUUCUCCAAAUCAUAAUUUGUUGAUUAAUUUCACUCUUAAUUUAGAAUUUCUCUCAAAUUGAUUUCUUGAUUUAUUCACUCUCAAAAUCGGCGCCCCCUUCUUAUUGCAAUGCAUGUUGCGUUGUCGUGUUCAACGAAACAAGUCAGGGAGAUCCUCAUACGCCGAUGUAUCAUGUUCAUCAAAACAAAUCAACGAGAUCCUUGUGGUAUGGACUUUUAGUAUUAUUAUUAUUAUUAAACUCUCACUCUAAUUUUGGGAAUUUGGUUUAUCUUGUAUUUUCUUUGGAUAUGAAAUUGUGUAUAAUUUUGAUUCAAGUUUAUAAGAUGAUAAUUAUAAUUAUAUACUUUGAUGGGUAUGAAAUUUGAUUGCUUAAUUGUUUAUUUGGUUAGAUUUUGUGUAUCAUUUUGGUUUAUCUUUUGAUUUUGAUUGUUAACAGAUGACUACAAAUCUAGUAGCAUACAACAUGAGUCAUUUCAUAACAGAUUGACAGCUUCAUAAACAUGUUUAUGAAAUUAUUCCUAUGCAAAAGUUAUUUUAUUUACUUGGCAUGUUGUGAAGACAUGUGUUGACUAUUUUAGUACCAAUUAACCUUUUUGACAUUCAGGUAGAACUGAUCUGGUAGUAAAAGAAAAGAAAGCAAACAUUGGAACAAAAUGAUGAGUUAUGCUUGCUCAAUGCAGAGCGCUUGUGGAUAAAUAUAAAUUACGACAAUUACAAAAUCAAUUACCUUAAUUAAAUUUAUCAUAUCUAAAUUAAUAUCAUGUCCUAUUUCCUUAUCUACUUUGUCAGGAAAGCUGGUGGAAUGUUGGAGUUAUAAUCUUGAUGAUAUUGAUCUUUGCAACUACUCCGACAUUCAUGGAUAAAUAUAAUCAUUGGAGUUGUAUGUCUCUUAUUUCUUAUGUACCAAGAUGUUUCUUUUCACACUAGUAAUCACUCUCUUAUCUCUAUUUACUAAGAUUUUAUUUCACUGAUAUGUUAAAAGGGGAGUUUUUUUAACCUGAUUUAUAAAAGUAUUACAUAUUAUUUGGUGCUUUUUUUGUGACACUAUAUCAAAGAUUUUCAUUGACAAUAAGCUUCCUUCAAUAUUGCGUCAUGUGUUUUUCUUGUUCUUUGCAGCUCUUAGCAUAAUUACUUUGUCAUGGAACUCCAUCUCGACUACUUUAAUACUGCAUCCAUGAUGCUCUUCGUCCUAUCCCUCUUUCUUUUCAUGUCCUUGGAUAUUUUCUUGUAUUUUGUCUUUAGGCCAUAUAGAAAUGGUUUAAACUUUAAACAAGGCUAUAAUGUUUACAUUAAGUAAUUGCUUCCUUAACAUUUAAUCUCAAUAGUGUUUGAGAAUGCAUACAUACUCUAUUGUAGAACAUAUGCAAAGUGGGAAGUUUGAUAUUAAGAUUUUUUGAAUGUUUGAUAUUUUAAGUGCUCAGUGGAAAGAGCUUAACAGCAGAGGCAUCGUUUAUUAAAAAUGGUAUAAAUAUAAAUCUUAUAUUUUUUUCAGUAGUUUUAUUAAUUCAUUUUUGAGUGAGAAUCUUUGCAGCCAAGAAUAUAUAGUAAGAUAUUCAUUGAAGGACAUUGAUCAAAUUUGUAAAAGCUCAUUUCCUUUGGGCAUGUGUCACCUAUUUUAUAAGGAAAAGGACAAUCAUUUAAAGCAAUGUGGAAAGAUGCAUCAGCAUGUUGGACAUCUAAGCAUAAUAAUAAGAAAUUAUUUUAUGUGUGAACCUAAGUGAAUGUACUAUAUUUAGCUUUAACCUUAUUAAUUGAAGAAUUUAUCUAUUUUGAAUUA